UACGUAGGUGGCAAGCGUUGUCCGGAUUUACUGGGCGUAAAGAGCGCGCAGGCGGUCAGAUAAGUCGAAUGUGAAAGCCCCCGGCUCAACUGGGGAGGGUCAUUCGAUACUGAUCGACUCGAAGGCAGGAGAGGGAAGCGGAAUUCCCGGUGUAGUGGUGAAAUGCGUAGAUAUCGGGAGGAACACCAGUGGCGAAGGCGGCUUCCUGGCCUGUUCUUGACGCUGAGGCGCGAAAGCUAGGGGAGCAAACGGG
RNAcentral lists this ribosomal RNA (253 nucleotides) under uncultured bacterium. RNAcentral describes it as "partial 16S ribosomal RNA". It matches the Rfam family "Bacterial small subunit ribosomal RNA", at positions 524 to 776 of the family's 1533-position model. The record is from RNAcentral.